Molecule: ribosomal RNA, 292 nt
Filed under: uncultured eukaryote
Lineage: Eukaryota
Description: partial 18S ribosomal RNA
Rfam family: Eukaryotic small subunit ribosomal RNA
Source: RNAcentral
GGUUGAUCCUGCCAGUAGUCAUAUGCUUGUCUCAAAGAUUAAGCCAUGCAUGUCUAAGUAUAAACAUCUUUAUACAGUGAAACUGCGUACAGCUCAUUAUAUCAGUUAUUAUUUAUUUGAUGGUACCUUACUACAUGGAUACCCGUAGUAAUUCUAGAGCUAAUACAUGCGCAAAGUCCCGACUCUCGCGGGGAGGGAUGUAUUUAUUAGAUAAAAAACCAAUGCUCUGCUUCACGGUAGAGGUUCUUUUUGGUGAGUCCUAGUAACUGUUCGAAUCGCAUGCCUUCACUGG